CCUACGGGCGGCAGCAGUGAGGAAUAUUGGUCAAUGGGCGCGAGCCUGAACCAGCCAAGUAGCGUGAAGGAUGACUGCCCUCUGGGUUGUAAACUUCUUUUAUAUGGGAAUAAAUUGCUGAAUGUAUAUGUUUUCGUUUGUACCUUAUGAAUAAGGAUCGGCUAACUCCGUGCCAGCAGCCGCGGUACUACGGAGGAUCCGUGCGUUAUCCGGAUUUAUUGGGUUUAAAGGGAGCGUAGGCGGGUUGUUAAGUCAGUUGUGAAAGUUUGCGGCUCAACCGGAAUAUUGCAGUUGAAACUGGGAGCCUUGAGUGCAGUAGAGGUGGGCGGAAUUCGUGGUGUAGCGGUGAAAUGCUUAGAUAUAACGAAGAACUCCGGUUGCGAAGGCAGCUCGCUGGACUGUAACUGACGCUGAGGCUCGAAAGUGUGGGUAUCAAACAGGAUUAGAUACCCUGGUAGUC
RNAcentral lists this ribosomal RNA (460 nucleotides) under uncultured bacterium. RNAcentral describes it as "partial 16S ribosomal RNA". It matches the Rfam family "Bacterial small subunit ribosomal RNA", at positions 338 to 795 of the family's 1533-position model. The record is from RNAcentral.